This 1300-nucleotide unclassified non-coding RNA is filed under the name Bombus terrestris (buff-tailed bumblebee). Its description in RNAcentral is "misc RNA ENSBTSG00005034708.1". Lineage: Eukaryota; Metazoa; Arthropoda; Insecta; Hymenoptera; Apidae. The record is from RNAcentral.
AUACUAAAGGACUCUUCUAACGUUAAACAUGGAACAAAAGAAGAAAGAAAUUUUUGGCAAGUCAUCGGAAGAAGUAAUUUGACAACGAUCGUAUCAUAAAUAAUUGAUCGGCAGUUCAGGUAUUAAUAACAGCUACAGCAUCCAAGUACCGGGAUCGUGUCAAGGACCACCCGCGGCGAGUUGGCCCGACAAUGCCGGGGACAGACGACACGACACAAUCAGGGACUCCCUGUUCCGUUACCAGGCUUGCUAAUAAAUUAUUAAAGGGACACCCUCUGGAAGUGACGUCGGAAUAUUACGGUGUGUUGGAGGGCUGAUACCCCUGCGGCUUCCGCCGCCUCCGACCUCCGCGUCCAGCUUGCCGGUUCGACUGACCUCGUGGAUCCAAAAAAUGACGACAGAAAGCGUCGAUGCGGUUUCGUUGAUCUUCGUGUAAUUACGUUUGUUCUUCAGAACGGUCUGUCUAUGCGCCACUGUCCACACCGAGCAAUAAAAAACACUAUGUCACAAACUUGAAUCACUAACCGGUUAACAGAAUACGGAAACAUUCUUUCCACGAGUCACUGAUAUAUCGUGCCACUGCUUGUGUUCAAUUGAACGAGAAAUUUUCCACGUCACCCUUCAAAACGACGAAGAGGUAAUAUCGUGCCAGUAAAAACUAAGUGUGCCUGGCUUCUUGUUUACGACGCGUGUAUUUUAACCUCACGAUGUGUUAUUGGAAGUUUAGUAAAUACAGCGACUACGACACCGAACAUUUCUCAGAAUUCGUGCACUAAUCUGUCAACACCACAACAGAAUUGCGAGGAAAUUGGAUAAAGUACAGUUCAGGGUUACCAAACACGUAAAAUUUAUAACGAAGCACUGCUCGUUUGACAUUUACCGACAUGUUUGCGAGAUAUCGAUAGAUCGACAUAGAGGCCGCGUUUCGAAAGGUUUACGACAAAUGUGAGGGUUGAACGAUUCAGAUAGCUAUACACGCGAUCGUGGCUCGAUAGACAGCAGCGAAGCGGUGCGAGAAUCGCGAAACAGAUCGGUUAAGAAUCGGGACCGAUCUCGGUUCGAUCGGUGACAUGCGCGCGGCUACGAACCUGUUCGUCCAUUCUUCGCCCCCUCGACGGGAUUAGCGCGUGCAUUCGUCCGGUAGCGAUGGUGAAAAGCGAGCAUUCACGGGUAUGGACAAUGACGACGACGACGACGGCGACGAGUCGGCGUGGUGCGUGUCCGCCUUAAGGGCCGUCCGUCGCAGACGCAUGCUCGCGGCACGUUGCAGCCUCUCGCACUGACCGCGCGUAACACGUAA